Long non-coding RNA from Mauremys reevesii (Reeves's turtle), 295 nucleotides. RefSeq lists it as uncharacterized. Lineage: Eukaryota; Metazoa; Chordata; Testudines; Geoemydidae. The transcript has 2 exons. The record is from RefSeq and is a predicted model, not a curated record.
CUGGCCAGCUACCCUGAGGAGCAGCCCAGCCUGUCCCUUGCCACCUACUCUGAGGAGCAGCUGAGCCUAUCGCUCGCUUGUUACCCAGAGGAACCGGAGGUUUCCAGCACCAUCGAGGACACCACCCUAACCCAGCAAGGAAGCGGGCACAGCCUGUAGGAAAUGAGUGGUCACUGGCUCCGGCUCUCCCAGCGCUCUGUGUGACUGCGAGAUUGGAAGGCUUCAGCAGCAGCAGCCCGGGCAGCUUGGACAUUAAUCAAAAGCUUUGUGUCCAUGUGACUUCGACCCCUUCCCC